GACGAACGCUGGCGGCGUGCUUAACACAUGCAAGUCGAACGGAAAGGCCCUGCUUUUGUGGGGUGCUCGAGUGGCGAACGGGUGAGUAACACGUGAGUAACCUGCUCUUGACUUUGGGAUAACUUCAGGAAACUGGGGCUAAUACCGGAUAGGAGCUCCUGCUGCAUGGUGGGGGUUGGAAAGUUUCGGCGGUUUGGGAUGGACUCGCGGCUUAUCAGCUUGCUGGUGGGGUAGUGGCUUACCAAGGCUUUGACGGGUAGCCGGCCUGAGGGGGUGACCGGCCACAAUGGGACUGAGAUACGGCCCAGACUCCUACGGGAGGCAGCAGUGGGGAAUAUUGCACAAUGAGCGGAAGCCUGAUGCAGCAACGCCGCGUGCGGGAUGACGGCCUUCGGGUUGUAAACCGCUUUCGCCUGUGACGAAGCGUGAGUGACGGUAAUGGGUAAAGAAGCACCGGCUAACUACGUG
This 468-nucleotide ribosomal RNA is filed under the name uncultured bacterium. RNAcentral's name for it is "partial 16S ribosomal RNA". It matches the Rfam family "Bacterial small subunit ribosomal RNA", at positions 28 to 507 of the family's 1533-position model. The record is from RNAcentral.